GGCCUUAUAUUCUAAGAAAGAUACUAGGCUGCAAUCCUAGAGAUGUAAAUUUACUAAGGCUU
RNAcentral lists this transfer RNA (62 nucleotides) under Leucrocuta aphrodite. RNAcentral's name for it is "tRNA-Cys". The record is from RNAcentral. Lineage: Eukaryota; Metazoa; Arthropoda; Insecta; Ephemeroptera; Heptageniidae.